AGAGUUUGAUCAUGGCUCAGAUUGAACGCUGGCGGCAUGCUUUACACAUGCAAGUCGAACGGUAACAGGGAGCUUGCUCCGCUGACGAGUGGCAGACGGGUGAGUAACACGUGGGAACCUUCCUAGGGGUACGGAACAACUCAGGGAAACUUGAGCUAAUACCGUAUACGUCCGUGAGGAGAAAGAUUUAUCGCCCUUAGACGGGCCCGCGUCGGAUUAGCUAGUUGGUGGGGUAACGGCCUACCAAGGCGACGAUCCGUAGCUGAUCUUAGAGGAUGAUCAGCCACACUGGGACUGAGACACGGCCCAGACUCCUACGGGAGGCAGCAGUGGGGAAUCUUGGACAAUGGGCGCAAGCCUGAUCCAGCCAUGCCGCGUGAGUGAAGAAGGUCUUCGGAUUGUAAAGCUCUUUUGCCAGGGGCGAUAAUGACGGUACCUGGAGAAUAAGCCCCGGCAAACUUCGUG
Molecule: ribosomal RNA, 465 nt
Filed under: uncultured bacterium
Lineage: Bacteria
Description: bacterial SSU rRNA
Rfam family: Bacterial small subunit ribosomal RNA
Source: RNAcentral